UGCGUAGGCGGCUUAGUCAGUCAGGGGUGAAAGUUCUGGGCUUAACCGAGGAAUUGCCUUUGAUACUGCUAAGCUUGAAUCAGGUUGAGGUAGGCGGAAUGUGGCAUGUAGCGGUGAAAUGCUUAGAUAUGCCAUAGAACACCAAUUGCGAAGGCAGCUUACUGGACCUGCAUUGACGCUAAGGCACGAAAGCGUGGGGAGCGAACAAGAUUAGAUACCCUGGUAGUCC
RNAcentral lists this ribosomal RNA (229 nucleotides) under uncultured bacterium. RNAcentral describes it as "partial 16S ribosomal RNA". It matches the Rfam family "Bacterial small subunit ribosomal RNA", at positions 568 to 796 of the family's 1533-position model. The record is from RNAcentral.